Stylophora pistillata is the source of this 878-nucleotide long non-coding RNA. The record is from RefSeq and is a predicted model, not a curated record. NCBI's taxonomy places the organism in Eukaryota, Metazoa, Cnidaria, Anthozoa, Scleractinia, Pocilloporidae.
AUUUUAUUAUUUGCAGACACUUCUUCAACUAAUUUCUCCUGAAGCAGAUAUGGCAGGCUAGUUCAUCCUAGAUAAACCACUAAGCUUAGAUUACACCGACAUCCAAGCAUGGAUAGCAGUCAAGCCAACGAGACUAUCCAAAGGGGUGGUUUUAGCAGCACAACUGGUUGCUAUGGAAAAGACAAAAAUGCCUCUUGUGGUACUGAAAUAGGUACCAUUUACGAAGGAUGCGAGAUAAACGUGGCAGUUAUUAUUGUAGUAAUUCUUAUAAUCGUGGGUUGGUUCAUUGGAUACCUCUUCCUUCAGAAAGUGGAAGAUAGAAAAGAGGAGGGGAAUAGUUCGACAUCGCAGAAAAGACGGACAUUUAAAAUCCCAUAACAUGUCAAACUGAUCAGCUUUUAGUGACAGUGAUUCAGUUUUGGAUUUCACUUCACUUCGUCGAGGAUGGAACCGUGGAUAGUUUAGAUUAGGUAAAGCGACAGAUAUCUUGGUAUAGGUUAUAAUGUCAGGUUAUUUGAACCACACCUUGCACAAAGUUUAAAAGUAUUCCAAUCGUUUUAAGUUAACUGACGGACAGAAAUAUCCCUAAACGUUAUUAACUAAACUACACCGCUGUUAAUCAUAUUUCAUUUUGGCUGGCCGGUUUAAUUCCUAACCAGUAAGCUCUACUACAUGUAACUAUGAUGGAAGUAAACAUGUUGAAUGUUUAGAGAGAACACGCGGACAAGAAAACCGUUUUUGUGAAAAUAGAAACAAAAGUUUGAAUUGUCUGAAAGUAGCAUUGAAAUAUGGUGCGCUUUUAUACUAUUGUGAGAGGAGGUAUACAAUAUAGAGAGAGUAUGUUUACGAACAAUACAAUAGAUCUGAAACAUGUCAAA